RNAcentral lists this ribosomal RNA (288 nucleotides) under uncultured bacterium. RNAcentral describes it as "partial 16S ribosomal RNA". It matches the Rfam family "Bacterial small subunit ribosomal RNA", at positions 773 to 1060 of the family's 1533-position model. The record is from RNAcentral.
GUGGAUUAGAUACCCGGGUAGUCCACGCCGUAAACGAUGUCAACUAGCCGUUGGCUCUCUUAGAGAGUUAGUGGCGCAGCUAACGCAUUAAGUUGACCGCCUGGGGAGUACGGCCGCAAGGUUAAAACUCAAAUGAAUUGACGGGGGCCCGCACAAGCGGUGGAGCAUGUGGUUUAAUUCGAUGCAACGCGAAGAACCUUACCUACCCUUGACAUCCAGAGAAUCUGUUAGAGAUAGUAGAGUGCCUUCGGGAACUCUGAGACAGGUGCUGCACGGUUGUCGUCAACG